This 177-nucleotide small RNA is filed under the name Mytilus galloprovincialis (Mediterranean mussel). The record is from RNAcentral. Lineage: Eukaryota; Metazoa; Mollusca; Bivalvia; Mytilida; Mytilidae.
AGAGAAACAGAUUCCACCACCAAAUGUCGUGUAAUACGAUAUUUAUCCACUCUCGACAGUUAAAUUUUGAAUAUUUAAAACGCUUGGCGAGUCUCGCGUUUUAAAUUUAAAAAUUUAAAUGUCUCGAGUAGAUAAAUAUCGUAUCACAUUAGAUGCAGUGGUAGAAUCUUUAUUUAU